This 231-nucleotide long non-coding RNA is filed under the name Elaeis guineensis (African oil palm). RNAcentral's name for it is "long non-coding RNA (EGUI_LNC011571)". Lineage: Eukaryota; Viridiplantae; Streptophyta; Magnoliopsida; Arecales; Arecaceae. The record is from RNAcentral.
GAUCAGCCGGAUAGAAUUCAGAGCCAGCUGAGCAGGGCAGAGGUCGUAGUAGUCAAAAAAAUUUCAGACGAACUCCGAAAUCGAAAAUCGAAGACCGACCUGAAGGUCUUCGACAUAAAUUAUGAUCUGGUCCGAAGGAGGAGAAUUCACCUGACCGUCCGAGCCAGGAGCGAAAAAUUGAUACCGCUUUGGGAUACGGUAUUGUUCUCGGAGUCGUUCAACGUUGGGCCU